UGAGCAAUCUGCCCUUCUCUUUGGAAUAAGCGUUGGAAACGACGUCUAAUGCCGAAUACGACCUCCUUUCGCAUGAUCGGAGGUGGAAAGCUCCGGCGGAGAAGGAUGAGCUCGCGGCCUAUCAGCUAGUUGGUGUGGGUAAUGGCCCACCAAGGCGACGACGGGUAGCCGGCCUGAGAGGGUGACCGGCCACACUGGGACUGAGACACGGCCCAGACUCCGUACGGGAGNAGCG
Molecule: ribosomal RNA, 235 nt
Filed under: uncultured bacterium
Lineage: Bacteria
Description: partial 16S ribosomal RNA
Rfam family: Bacterial small subunit ribosomal RNA
Source: RNAcentral